UACGGAGGAUCCGAGCGUUAUCCGGAUUUAUUGGGUUUAAAGGGAGCGUAGGUGGAUUGUUAAGUCAGCGGUCAAAUCGUGGGGCUCAACCCCAUCCAGCCGUUGAAACUGGCAGUCUUGAGUACAGUAGAGGUGGGCGGAAUUCGUGGUGUAGCGGUGAAAUGCUUAGAUAUCACGAAGAACUCCGAUUGCGAAGGCAGCUCACUGGACUGCAACUGACACUGAGGCUCGAAAGUGUGGGUAUCAAACAGG
This 252-nucleotide ribosomal RNA is filed under the name uncultured Bacteroides sp. RNAcentral describes it as "partial 16S ribosomal RNA". It matches the Rfam family "Bacterial small subunit ribosomal RNA", at positions 524 to 776 of the family's 1533-position model. Lineage: Bacteria; Pseudomonadati; Bacteroidota; Bacteroidia; Bacteroidales; Bacteroidaceae. The record is from RNAcentral.